This 712-nucleotide ribosomal RNA is filed under the name uncultured Alphaproteobacteria bacterium. RNAcentral describes it as "bacterial SSU rRNA". It matches the Rfam family "Bacterial small subunit ribosomal RNA", at positions 8 to 764 of the family's 1533-position model. The record is from RNAcentral. Lineage: Bacteria; Pseudomonadati; Pseudomonadota; Alphaproteobacteria.
AGAGUUUGAUCCUGGCUCAGAACGAACGCUGGCGGCAGGCUUAAUACAUGCAAGUCGAACGGUUGUAGCAAUACAGCAGUGGCAGACGGGUGAGUAACACGUGGGAACCUACCUAGGGGUACGGAAUAACUCAGGGAAACUUGUGCUAAUUCCGUAUACGACCUCAGGGUGAAAGAUUUAUCGCCCCUAGAUGGGCCCGCGUUGGAUUAGCUAGUUGGUGAGGUAAAAGCUCACCAAGGCGACGAUCCAUAGCUGGUCUGAGAGGAUGAUCAGCCACGCUGGGACUGAGACACGGCCCAGACUCCUACGGGAGGCAGCAGUAGGGAAUCUUGGACAAUGGGCGAAAGCCUGAUCCAGCCAUGCCGCGUGAGUGAUGAAGGCCUUAGGGUUGUAAAGCUCUUUCGCCAGGGAAGAUAAUGACGGUACCUGGAUAAGAAGCCCCGGCUAACUUCGUGCCAGCAGCCGCGGUAAUACGAAGGGGGCUAGCGUUGUUCGGAAUUACUGGGCGUAAAGCGCACGUAGGCGGUUUUCCAAGUUGGAGGUGAAAUCCCCGGGCUUAACCUGNGAACUGCCUCCAAGACUGGGAGACUCGAGUCCGAGAGAGGUGAGUGGAAUUUCCAGUGUAGAGGUGAAAUUCGUAGAUAUUGGAAAGAACACCAGUGGCGAAGGCGGCUCACUGGCUCGGUACUGACGCUGAGGAGCGGCAGCGUGG